RNAcentral lists this ribosomal RNA (253 nucleotides) under uncultured bacterium. RNAcentral describes it as "partial 16S ribosomal RNA". It matches the Rfam family "Bacterial small subunit ribosomal RNA", at positions 524 to 776 of the family's 1533-position model. The record is from RNAcentral.
UACGUAGGGACCAAGCGUUGUUCGGAUUUACUGGGCGUAAAGGGCGCGUAGGCGGCUUGACAAGUCACUUGUGAAAUCUCCGGGCUUAACUCGGAACGGCCAAGUGAAACUGUCAUGCUAGAGUGCAGAAGGGGCAAUCGGAAUUCUUGGUGUAGCGGUGAAAUGCGUAGAUAUCAAGAGGAACACCUGAGGUGAAGCCGGGUUGCUGGGCUGACACUGACGCUGAGGCGCGAAAGCCAGGGGAGCAAACGGG